CAGAUAUUAGUUUAAUUAAAAUAUUAAUUUUGGAGAUUAAUGAUGAAAAAUUUUUUAUAUCUGA
This 64-nucleotide transfer RNA is filed under the name Altica ericeti. Its description in RNAcentral is "tRNA-Pro". Lineage: Eukaryota; Metazoa; Arthropoda; Insecta; Coleoptera; Chrysomelidae. The record is from RNAcentral.